ACAGAUGUAGCAGAGCCGAAUGUGUUCGCCUGCCAGAAUUUAUUCAAAAGUUAAGCCAAAACCUGCUGGUAACCAAGCUAAAGUUGGAAGAUUGUUUCUCUGAUACAAGUUUAUUCAAGUAAAUCUGCUGUUCAACGUUAUACCAAGUCUGGACUCAUUUCUU
This is a long non-coding RNA of Bufo bufo (common toad), 163 nucleotides long. RefSeq lists it as uncharacterized. The record is from RefSeq and is a predicted model, not a curated record. NCBI's taxonomy places the organism in Eukaryota, Metazoa, Chordata, Amphibia, Anura, Bufonidae. The transcript is spliced from 3 exons.